CGCUUCGGUCGUCCUUGCUGAUGUCUAUUUUAUUAUCUUUCAGGUCAGCACACGGUGAAAAUACACCAAAACUACUCCGUAAGAUGUUUACCUCUUAGUUGACAAGUAUAUAGCAGUGCGUUGCGGUUUUUGUGCACCAUUUUGCCAGUAGUUGCCAGUUUUAUCAGGCGAGGGUAAAGUUGUCAGUAUGCCAGCCCCCGCUGGGAAAGUUCCAGGAUACCGGAUGACACAGGCCAAAAAGUCUAACAGUUCAGCCGUUGCCAUGACAAUGCAGAGAUCUCCACCAUGAGUUUGGACAGUACACAAACCCAGCUGUUUACUGCAGACACUGAUAGACAAGUCAAAGAUGUUAACAAAUUUUCCUCUGCCCUGCUAAUGUUGAGCCCUCUGCGUGGACGUCUGGAUUUCAUAAAGGUGAUGUCCUUCAGUCUGCACUCAUUCUUGUCACAGUCUGCAGAAGAACCAGUGGACUUUGGAAAGAAUACAUGUGGGACAGGAAACCGAGGGGAACAUUAAAGAGAGAAGAUAAGAGGAGAUGUGACACAAGAGACCAACGCUAGAACUGUGCACAAUCCUGCAGCAGAGGAAGGGGAAGUGGAAAUAUAAUCUUAUAAUGAGGACAAGCUGCAGGAAAAAGAGAUGCAUCGGCUCAGAAAUCUGUAUCUACAUAAAUUAAUUGUUGUACAGUAAAUAUGAUUGUGUUCUACAUUACCUUUUAUUUUAAUGCCUUUAAUGCUUGCAGCAAUGUUUUGAAAGGGAACAACUGAAACAUUUACCCUUACAGUGUUUAUAGAAGUAUUAACUUUUACAGCACCUUUUGUUUUGUUUAUGCAUCAUUUUAUUGUCUACAGUCAGCGAGGUAUUAAAAUGUUGGGGUCAGUGUAAGAGCAGUUUGGAGCUCUGAUCUGUCAGUCGCUAGAGAGCAAAGAGGGGAAAAAUAAAAUAAAAUUUUUAAUUUUGUUAAAUUGUUAAUAUUUGCAUGAAUUGAACUGACUUUUCUGUCAAGGACAGAACAAAAAAGUGCAAAUUUUAUUUCUGUAACUUAAGAGCUUGAUGUGCAUUGUAGCAGAAAUUGUUCUCAAUUGCCCUUCGAGAUUCAGAAUGGUUCAUAAGUUUUAACCGCCAUUACUUUCCCUUGUUAUUUGUUCCCUCAAAGUUAGCUUGCCAUAUUCAUUGUAUUUUAUUGAGAAUUUAGCAGUCAGACCAACGCAAAGCAGUGCAUUGCUUUAAAGUGGAAGGCAAAUGAUGCAUGGCUUUCAAAAGUUUACGCAAAUAAAACUAUGAAAACUA
This is a long non-coding RNA of Gambusia affinis (western mosquitofish), 1290 nucleotides long. RefSeq lists it as uncharacterized. Lineage: Eukaryota; Metazoa; Chordata; Actinopteri; Cyprinodontiformes; Poeciliidae. The transcript is spliced from 4 exons. The record is from RefSeq and is a predicted model, not a curated record.